AGAAGUCCAGAACAAGUGCGAAUCCAACAAACCGAUAUCCUACAUUGCAUAUACCAGAUAUAUUGGGCUAGUCUCAUAUCCAAUAGUGGCAUGCCUACGCAAUCCGCAAUCAGGGCAUGAGAAACAAGUCAUCACGGCCCAACCCGAGCUCGCUCGUUCUUGUCAACCUAAUCCAACUUUCAAUUUUGUUCAAAAGUUGAAAGAAUCCUCUCACAGGCCAAAAAUCCAAUCGGGGCAUUAGUGUUGACUCGACAACCUUUAAACUCUCCAGAGCAGUUCGACCCGGAAUACUCAGAGUGUCAAAAAAAGGGACCAACACAACUCCAUGUUGUGGGAGCCGGGCUGCCUUUAUUCUGUUCUUUUGCUUUUAACUUUGAUCUCUUUGGGCCUCCUUAUCCUAGAGGCCUUUUCUUGUAGUUGUUGGCUCUGUAUAAAAAAAAAAAAAAAAUUAUAGUAGGCAUGGUUACUUCGGUUUGGUAGAUGACCUAACCUGUUAAUCAAAUCGAACUUUUGGUAGGCCAAAAUAUCUUCCGUUAACUAUUUAUCGUGGGCCUUUAACCGAUCGUGACGAUUUGGUAGGAUACUUUUAUGGUUAAAAAUAAACCUACUAAGUAAGUAGUAAAAAUACAAUUAAUGUUCAUUUCACAUAAUUAUUGACGAUCUUGAGCAAGGGCAGGAAGUGCACCCAUCCUGGGCCCCACAUUAAGGACAUCCCCCAAAUUCUAUUUUCCUUAUGAGGCUAUACUCCAGAGUUGUAAAUAAUAAAGCUGCAAAAAUUUUACAAUAAAUUCUUUGUAGUAGGAUUGGUAUGUGACUUUGUUCGAUCUUUAAAGAGCCAGCGUUCGAGCCCAAGAUUUACCUUUUAUUUGUUGUCGCCCUAGGCCUUGAAAAAUUGAGAGUCGACUCUGC
This 909-nucleotide long non-coding RNA is filed under the name Prunus persica (peach). RNAcentral's name for it is "long non-coding RNA (PPER_LNC000194)". Lineage: Eukaryota; Viridiplantae; Streptophyta; Magnoliopsida; Rosales; Rosaceae. The record is from RNAcentral.